Long non-coding RNA from Puntigrus tetrazona (Sumatra barb), 814 nucleotides. RefSeq lists it as uncharacterized. The record is from RefSeq and is a predicted model, not a curated record. NCBI's taxonomy places the organism in Eukaryota, Metazoa, Chordata, Actinopteri, Cypriniformes, Cyprinidae. The transcript has 3 exons.
GUGACGUAGUCAGCCGCAGUUAAACACUGGAGUGCUCGCCGAGCAGCGUGAUAUAGUCUGCCUAUCACAUAUAAAAUAGCAUUUAAUAUCUUCGCAAUUAGUUUACAAACUAAGGAUUUCCAGAAAGAUUGAAACUGAAAGAUGCUGACUACAUUGGACCCAAUGCUGCACCACACUAGUGGACCACAGUGAGUGUGACGGAGUUCCCCGCGUCUUUGAUAAGCUGAACAAUGUCGUUAUGAGAGAGCUCCACAAUGGACUGACUGUUCACAGCGGAAAUACGGUCACCUACGUUCAGCAGUCCGCAGCGGUCAGUCGGACUGCCCUCGAUUAUUCGACCGAUCUUAUGAGGAAUCACUGCAACACACACUUAGGCAAAUCACUUAGCGGAACUGAAAUGGCUGGUGUUGUAUUUAUAAUCAUAAUAAAUUAAUCAUAAGAAAUGUAACAAUUCUGGUGUUGUGUAAAACUCAAACAGCUGGAUGGAGUGGAAUGGAUCAGAGAACAGGGGCCUCAAGGCACUUUUUAAAUUUAAACUACUGCAUUUUUAAAGACAUCUUAAAAUCUAAAUAAAUGAACACGCAACGCUGAUGACGUAAUAUGCUCAAUGAAAAGUGCAAGGCGUGAUGCAACCACCACUGACUACCCUUUACACAGAGUAAGUAUGGACAUAAAAGUCAACGGAAAUGAAGAAACAGCUAUUCAUGUGCAAAAAAAACACUCAUUUCAACAUGACAUCAAACCAAAACAACCAUGGUAAAAUGAAAUUAUUAAACUAAAACGAAAAAUUAAUAAAUACAAAAUCUGAAAUGAA